GACGAACGCUGGCGGCGUGCCUAAUACAUGCAAGUUGAGCGCUGAAGGUUGGUACUUGUACCAACUGGAUGAGCAGCGAACGGGUGAGUAACGCGUGGGGAAUCUGCCUUUGAGCGGGGGACAACAUUUGGAAACGAAUGCUAAUACCGCAUAAAAACUUUAAACACAAGUUUUAAGUUUGAAAGAUGCAAUUGCAUCACUCAAAGAUGAUCCCGCGUUGUAUUAGCUAGUUGGUGAGGUAAAGGCUCACCAAGGCGAUGAUACAUAGCCGACCUGAGAGGGUGAUCGGCCACAUUGGGACUGAGACACGGCCCAAACUCCUACGGGAGGCAGCAGUAGGGAAGCUUCGGCAAUGGGCGAAAGUCUGACCGAGCAACGCCGCGGGAGUGAAGAAGGGUUUCGGAUCGUAAAACUCUGUUGGUAGAGAAGAACGUUGGUGAGAGUGGAAAGCUCAUCAAGUGACGGUAACUACCCAGAAAGGGACGGCUAACUACGUG
This 497-nucleotide ribosomal RNA is filed under the name uncultured bacterium. RNAcentral's name for it is "partial 16S ribosomal RNA". It matches the Rfam family "Bacterial small subunit ribosomal RNA", at positions 28 to 507 of the family's 1533-position model. The record is from RNAcentral.